CUUUCUCUUCUUUUCCCCUCACCAAAAUCUUCCUCUCAUCUUAUCCAGUUAAGGCCGCAGCCUUCAGGUCGCUACCACUGUUGUGGGUUGCCAUCCCCAUGAGGUUGCUGUUGUUCCGACGCGUCUACUCGUCAAGGUCGUUGCCGGGUAGUUGUGGCUGCUGGGAAUUGUUGAUGCCAGUGGUACGUCCUAGUUUUCCUUCUCUAUGGUGAUGUCUAGGUAAGACUUAGGGAUUUGGGGCAGCAGCUCAUAGAUUGGAGUUAGAUUUUAGAACUAGAGAUGGAUUCCUGAAACACUUUGCAAAUUCGUUGGUGAGCCCAGUGCUUAUACUUAUUUGGUUUUGCUUCCAGGUCAGACCUCCUCUAUGUUAGUUCCUUUGCUUAGCCAAAUAAGUUAUGGAAGAUAGCCCAUCCAUGAUGUUGUGAGAUGUGAACUGCCUUCUAGCAGAAAAACGAGAGUGUUGGGCAUCUUUGACUGUAAACUGAAUCUGGUUCACUUAAAACCGCACUGACAAAUCUGGACAGCCAGCUUCUAGGUGGAAAUCGAGUUAGUUAUGCUCACAAUUUCGAGUAGGCCUCUACAUAUGAGUUGUAAAGCAUGUUCCAAGGUUUCCGUGGAGUACUUACUUGCUUCAUUUGGAUGUACGGUUUGAGAGCAGUCGUCUAUUUGGUUACUGUCCAGAAACACAGUUUCAUGGGUACAAUAUUUUCAUAUGGAAGAUUAGGCCCUGUUGGAGGUGGACUUAAAAUAAAGUUACAACAUGAAAUUUGUAGAGAAUAUUCUGCAGAUUCUUAAACAUAUAUUAUUUGUUAGAUUCCGUGUUAUACACUAAAUCCUAUGAAAUUAUUAAAAUGAUUGUACCAUGUCGGACAAAAUUUUAUGUUUGGACUUGGGUGAAUGUAAAUAGACUUAUACUCUCAGAUUUUAUCGUCGUUGAUGAUGUGAGGAGUUAUAAUGUGAUAAAGUAUAUAUGAUCUGGGGUCUUGUGUGUAGGAGCGAUGCAAAAUUAUAUAUGCUUAUGUAAUCAGACCAUGCUUUACUGUGGCUGUGAUAUAUGCUUCAUGACAAGUGGGGGUACUUCGGAUUCGGAACUGUUUGCCUCACAAUUUGUGCCCCGCGGUUGAGGCAAGUUCAUGAUGGGAUAAUGACUUGCAUAAUCCCUACACUCUAUUUUAUUUAUGAUAUUUGUCCAUGUUAAUGAUGUUUAUUGUGAUGGAGGUGACGAUGACAAAGACAUGUUGAUUCAAGUACUUUGCUUGCAUUUGCAUAUUUGCAUUCAUGAUGAUAGAGAAAGAAAGAGUACCCUACCUUGGGUAGGCACAUUGAGACCUCCAUUGUUGGGUUGUGUCCUACUUUGGAGGAAACCUCCACGCGCUGGAGUGAGUGGAAGUCGACGGGCGUCCACUCAAGCAAUACCGGUAUACGCAAUGAAAUGAGAUGAGCAUGUAGGCAUGUAGGACACCAAUACAUGCGUUCAGUGUUGUUGAGUGUAUGGUGUUAACAUAGAUUUAGUUCUUUCUUAUGAGUAUUGUUUAUUAUUCCUUUAUGAACCUGUUGAGUCCUUGUACUCACCCUUGUUGCUUACAUGUUUUUAGGUAAACCAUGAAGACACCAUACAUGAGAGUCGUGGGGUAGCAGUAUCACCAUCUUCACUACACGAAUAUCUCAUAUGUUAACUUCUAGCACCGUGCUUUGAGACCUUGUAUGGCUUAUACCUUACUUCACAUGGUGGAUUGUCUUGGAAUUCUAGAUUUACACUUUCGCUCUGUAUGGCUUAACUAAUUUCCACUAAGACUUACAUGAUCGCCUAGAGUUUCAAAGUGGCACCUGGUUAAUGUUGGUAUUGUAGCUUUGCGCUUUAUGCUUGUGUUUGGUUCCUUUUCAUACAUAAUCAUAUGAUCUAUGUGUCAUGGAUGUCCUUAGAUACACAGAAAGCUUUGUCGAAAUUUCCUUUUAGGGCAUGUUUCCUAUCCAAGGUCUUAUGUGGUAAUAUUCCAAGCGCCUUGUCAGCUUGGGGUGUUACAGUUGGUAUCAGAGCAGGCUUUAGGUCCUAGUGUAUCUAUAUAGGAUAAUUGCAUAACUUAGUUAUGAAUUUAGGAUUGAUUAAAAAAUUUACUAUAGGAUGAACAACAUUAGAACUGACACACUGGUGCACAAUAGGAUGGAUUGGGCCAUGCAUUGCAUUAUGCUUAAGUUAAUGUUUUUCUUUAAUUUUGGGAUACUUAUGUCGGCAUAUGAUCAUGACUUUUGCGUUGAUGAUUGACUAUGCUACUUAUAGCUAUGUGCUAUCUCUUGAGCUUGGGUUGGUUUUUCCCUUGAAGACGAAAGGGCGAGGCAGCAAAGUAGUGUAAGUAUUUCCCUUAGUUUUGAGAACUAAGGUAUCAAUCCAGUAGAAGACAACGCGACAAGCCACCAAAUACCAGCACAAACAAACACCAACUUGCAACCAACACGACAAAGGGGUUUUCAAUCCCUUCACGGUUAUUCGCAAAGUGAGAUCUGAUAGAGAUGGAUAAACGGUAAAGUAAUAUUUUUGGUAUUUUUAGUUUGUGGAACGGAAAGUAAAGAUUGCAAAAGAAAGUAAAUAGGAAACUAGAAUUGUAGAUUGGAAACUUAUAUGAUGGAAAAUAGACCCGGGGGCCAUAGGUUUCACUAGAGGCUUCUCUCAAGAAAGGAAUUAUUACGGCCGGUGAACAAAUUACAGCCGAGCAGUUGAUAGAAAAGCGCAAAGUUCUGACGAUAUCUAAGGCAAUGAUGAUGAAUAUAGGCAUCACGUCCGUGUCAAGUAGACCGAAACGAUUCUGCAUCUACUACUAUUACUCCACACAUCGACCGACUCCUGCCUGCAUCUAGAGUAUUAAGUUCAUAAGAAUAGAGUAACGCAUUAAGUAAGAUGACAUGAUGUAGCGGGAUUAACUCAAGCAAUAUGAUGAAAAUACCAUCUUGUUAUCCUCAAUGACAACAAUACUAUACGUGCCUUGCUACCCCUACUGUCACUACGAAAGGACACCGCAAGAUUGAACCCAAAGCUAAGCACUUCUCCCAUCGCAAGGAAAACCAAUCUAGUUGGCCAAACCAAAUCGAUAGUUCGAAGAGACUUUCAAAGAUAUCAAAUCAUGCAUAAAAGAUUUCAGAGGACAUUCAAAUAAUAUUCAAAGAUAAGCUGAUCAUAAAUUCAGAAUUCAUCGGAUCACGGCAAACACGCCGCAAAAGACUAUUACAUAGAAUAGAUCUCCAAGAAUAUUGAGGAGAACAUGGUAUUGAGAAUCAAAGAGAGAGAAAAAGCCAUCUAGCUACUAGCUAUGGACCCGUAGGUCUAUGGUAAACUACUCAUGCUUCAUCGGAGAGGUAAUGGUGUUGAUGUAGAAGCCCUCCGUGACCAAAUCCCCUUCUGGCAGGAUGGGGGAAAAGGCCCCAAAAUUGGAUCUCACGGGUACAGAAGGUCGCGGCAAUGGAAAAAUGGUUUUGUGGCUCUCCUGGAAGUUUUCAGGGUAUAAGAGUAUACAUAGGAGGAAGAUCUAGGUCAGAAGGCCACCGAGGGACCCACAAGGUUGGGGUGCGCGCCCCAACCCCUAGGUGCGCGCUCCACCCUUGUGGCCGCCUCGUGGCUCUUCCGACUUGCACUCAAAGUCUCUUGGGUGUCUUCUGGUCCAAGAAAGAUCAUUGCGAAGCUUUUAUUCCGUUUGGACUCCGUCUAGUAUUCCUUUUACGCGAAACUCUAAAAUAAGGAAAAAACAGAAACUGGCACUAGCAAUGGCCUCUAGGUUAAUAGGUUAGUCCCAAAAAUCAUAUAAAAUAGCAUGUUAAUGCAUAUAAAACAUCCAAAACAGAUAAUAUAAUAGCACGGAACAAUCAAAAAUUAUAGAUACGUUGGAGAUGUAUCCAGCAUCCCCAAGCUUAAUUCCCGCUCGUCCUCGAGUAGGUAAAUGAUAAAAACACAUUUUUUGAUGUGGAAUGCUACCUAACAUAUUUAUCGAUGUAAUUCUAUUUAUUGUGGCAUGAAUGUUCAGAUCUGUAAGAUUCAAAACAAAAGUUUAAUAUUGACAAAAAAAUAAUACUUCAAGCAUACUAACAAAUAAUUAUGUCUUCUCGAAAUAACAUGGCCAAAGAAAGCUUAUCCCUACAAAAUCAUUGAUGACCCACAAGUAUAGGGGAUCUAUCGUAAUCCUUUCGAUAAGUAAGAGUGUCGAACCCAACGAGGAGCAGAAGGACAUGAUAAGUGGUUUCCAGCAAGGUAUUCUCUGCAAGUACUGAAAUAAGUGGUAACAAAUAGUUUUGUGAUAGGAUAAUUUGUAACGAGCAACAAGUAACAAAAGUAAAUAAAGUGCAGCAAGGUGGCCCAAUCCUUUUGUAGCAAAGGACAAGCCUAGACAAACUCUAAUAUGAUGUAAAGCGCUCCCGAGGACACAUGGGAAUAUCGUCAAGCUAGUUUUCAUCACGCUCAUAUGAUUCGCGUCCGGUACUUUGAUAAUUUGGUAUGUGGGUGGACCGGUGCUUGGGUGCUGCCCUUACUUGGAAAAACAUACCACUUAUGAUUAACCUCUAUUGCAAGCAUCCGCAAAUACAACAAAAGUAUUAAGGUAAACCCGCCUUCUGUGCUAGAGAUAAGCCAAACCUAUGUGCUAAUGCUUCCGCUGUUAGGACAUCAGCGCAACAAUCAAUCUUCCAAUUUCCACCUACAAUAAAGUUUCCUUUGUCAUCCCUGAGGACAGCCCCCGCUGUGCCCUUUAGUAGAUCGUGAUUGAAGGCAGCAUCCACAUUCAAUUUAACGACGCCCCUAGGAGGUCAACUCCACCCUCCAAUCUUCCUAUUAGCAUUAGGGGAAUGGGCAUUUACAAAAUUUGUCGUCAUAGCACGAAUUCCCAUCGAGGUUCGACAUACCUCUUGAGACUUUCCCCCGUGAACCAGUUUACGUCUAUUCCACCAUAAAUACCACGCGGUUACAGCAAUCAGCUCUCGUGCGUUCCGUGAAUCCGACAAAGAAAACUCUUGUUGUGGUAUGAGGAAUAAUGAUUCAAGGACUGCCUCCCCUGCAUGAUCAACCGCACAAGCUUUUUUAACCGCUCCAUACAUCCCCAAAUUUUCCCACACUUCUUUUGCCUUCUGACACAGGAACAACACAUGCUUUGUAUCCUCUAGCCCAUUUCAACAUGAUGGGCAAUUGGGCAAAAAAUUUAUGUGUCUAUUGGCUAGGGUAAUAUGACACGGUAGUGUCCCAUGCAAUGUGUGCCAGAUAAAAAAAUCAGCUUCGCCGGACAAGCUAAUUUCCAAAUCUUGCCCCAAAUAGGAUUGACCCUACUUCUACCCAUUCCAUUUGUGUAUUCUAGUUUCUUUCCAUGUUGUUUAUUCCACUCCUCCAGAUAAGCAGAUAGUAUAGUGAACAAACCGUUUUUAGUAUAGCUCCAAGCAAUGAAGUCCUGCAUAUUAUUCAUAGGGAGAGGGAUCGCCAGGACUCUUCAAGCAUCAAUUGGCCAUAGUGUUUGUCUCACCAAAUCUUCAUCCCAACCAUUUGUGGUUGGGUCAAUAAGAUUAGACACUUUCGUCAGAAAUAUCCCUCGUCUAGGAGUAAUAAUUCUCCUAUUCGCACAAUUUGGGAUCCAAGCGUCUGUCCAAAUAUUAAUUUUUUUCUUGGUUCCAACUCUCUAUAUAUAACCAUUUCUGAGAGAGUCAACUCCCGCCGUAAUACUUUUCCAAGUAAAGGAGGAACCCUUUUUAAAUUUUGCGCUCAUCAGAUCACCCUCUGGGUAAUACUUGGCUCUUAGGAUUGUGGCACAUAACGAAUCAGGAUUAUGUAGGAGACGCCACACUUGUUUAGCUAACAAUGCGAGAUUAAAGCAGUGUAUAUCACGAAAUCCCAUCCCUCCUUGAUCUUUGGGAACACAUAUCUUCCACCAUGCCAUCCAAUGCAUCCUUUUAUGGUUGUCGUCGUCGCCCCACCAAAAUUGCGACAUCACGUCAAUGAUUUCUUUACAAUUUUUUCAGGAAUUUUAAAGACGGGCAUGGCAUAAGUUGGGAUAGCUUGAACAACAGAUUUUAGCAAAAUUUCCUUUCCACCGCAGACAACAGUUUUUCUUUCCAUCCACUAAUCUUCAUAAUAAUUUGGUCAAUCAGGAACUGAAAGCAAUCACUUUUGUCCAUCCCCACAUGGGCUGGUAGACCCAAAUAUUUGUCAUUGAGUGCCUCAGUCAUAAUAUUCAGAGUAGUACAAAUUUGCACCUUUUCUUCCACUUUUGUUUUGGGGCUGAAAAAUAUGCUAGACUUUUCAACACUCACCAUUUGACCCUAGGCGACACAAUAAGAUGCAGAACUUCUCUCAAAGCCUUCGCAUUUGUAUCAUUAGCUUGCAUGAGGAUCAAUGAAUCAUCCGCAAAGAGUAAGUUGGAAAUAAAAGGGGCAUCUCUGCUAACUUUUAUGCCGAAAAUACUAGUUGUUUCUUCUGUGUUUGCUAAAAGAGCAGUGAGGCCCUCUGUGCACAACAAAAACAAAUAGGGAGAGAGUGGAUCCCCUUGCCUUAGUCCUCUAGUAGGUUUGAAACUAUCAGUAUCAUCGGCAUUAAACCGUACUCUAUAUUCCACUGAGGAUACACACUGCAUGAUUAAGUUCACCCAAUUCUCUUUAAAACCCAAUUUCAAUAGAACUCCUCUUAAAAAUUAAAAAAAAGACCAUUUCACUCGGUCAUAAGCUUUAUGCAUGUCUAGUUUAAUGGCACACAACCCUUCUUUACCUGCCCUUUUCAUUCUUAUUUUAUGAAAACGCUCAUAUGCUAGUAAAAUAUUAUCUAUGAUCAAUCUCCCAGGAACAAAAGCACUUUGAGUUGGGCUGAUAAUAUCUGAAAGAAUUACCUUUAAUCGUGCAGCAAUCAUUUUUGAAAUAACCUUAUACACCACAUUGCACAAACUGAUUAGUCUAAAUUGAAUAAUCUUUUCUGGAGAAUUAACCUUUGGGAUCAUGACAAUUGUAGUGUAAUUCCAUCCUGCCGGUAUAGAACAUGUAUUCAACGCCUUGAGGACUUCUUCUGUCAGAUAUUCUCCCAACAUCUGCGCAAAAAAAGAUCUUCUCCCAACAUAGACCAAAAUCUCUUAUAAAAGAUAGCAUGCAGACCAUCCGGACCCGGUGCUUUUAAAUCACCAAUAUCAAAUAAGGCCUUCCGAACUUCCUCCGCUGUGUAUGGAGCCGUAAGACCAGUAUUCAUUUCAUUCGUGACUUUCCUUUCUACAAGAGAUAGAACCUCCGGGUUUGGGUGAGAGACUUCUGACAUAAAUAGAUUUGAAAAAUACCCUCUAAUGCAAUCCUUCAUCUCCGACUCUUCCACCCACGCCCCAUUAUCUCCAAGCAAUAUUUUUAUCUGAUUUCUUUUCUUUCUGGAUGUUGCCGCAUUGUGGAAAAAAGAGCUGUUCCGGUCCCCGUGUAAUAGACAAUUUGCACGACCACGCUGAAUCCAGUAAAUCAGCUCUUGUUCCAACAAAUUUUCAAUAAGAAAAAUAAUCUCCUUUUGUCGUGCUUGGGAAUCCACAUUCAUAGGUCCCCUACGUAGCUUUUUCAAUUCUAUUUUAAGUUUACCUAUUCUCUUUUUCGGUCCGUUCAGAGUCUCGUGAUCCCAAUUCUGCAAAUCUGCAUGUACCACUCAUGUACGAUCAGCGAGCGUAGGCCCAAUGCCCAUUUUCUUUGCCUUUUCCCAUGUUGUACGCACAAUCUCAACGGGUGUCUCCUCUCUAAGCCAUCUAGCUUCAAAUUGUUUCACUCGUCCCCUUGGAGGUUUAGAAAUAUUGGCGUCAAAGUAUUCAGCAUCCAAGAUGAUGGGACGAUGAUCGGAAUGAACAUGUUCCUCAUUUAUAACCGCAGCUCGGGGGAAUACAUUCGCCCAUUCCACAUUGCAAACCGCCAUGUCAAGUCUCUCUCUAGUGUCGCCUGUCCUCCAAGUGAAAGGAUCACUAAUACAUCCCAUAUCGUCGAGGCCGCACUCUCCUAAACAAUUACGGAAAUAUCUCAUCAUUGCAUUCGGUUUCGCAUUGCCACCUUCUUUUUCCGACGAGAGUAAAAUUUCAUUAAAAUCUCCUAAAACCACCCACGGGUGCUUGCCCUUACUAUGUAGGUUUCAGAGCUUAUCCCAGGAUAAACUACGCUCACUCCAAACCGGAUGACCAUAAAAGCCCGUGAACCACCAAUGCACGGAAUCAUCAUUUAGAAAAAAGAAUAUCAAUAAAAUUAGGCGACUCAUAGUUCGAAACCACUUUAUUCAUCUUAUGAUAGAACAAAACUAGGCCACGGGCCCGACCAUCACUCCCCACUACAAUAAUUGAAUCAAAAGAUAAAGAAUGACAUAGCUCAUCGGCUUUACAUUUAUUGAAGUGCGACUUAGAGAGAAAAAUCAAAUCCGCCAUGAUACUCCCUGAUACGUCUCCAACGUAUCUAUAAUUUUUUAUUGUUCCAUGCUAUUAUAUUAUCAACCUUGGAUGUUUCAUAUGCAUUUAUAUGCUAUUUUAUCUGAUUUUUUGGGACUAACCUAUUAAGCUAGAGCGAGUGCCAGUUUCUAUUUUUUCCUUGUUUUUGAGUAUCACAGAAAAGGAAAACCAAACGGAGUCCAAUUGACCUGAAACUUCACAGAACUUAUUUUUGGACCAGAAGAAGGCCAUGGAGUAAAAGAGUUGGGCCAGAAGAGUUUCGGGCUGCCCACGAGGGUGGGGGCGCGCCCACCCCCUGGGCGUGCCUCCCUACCUCGUGGAUAGCCCGAAGACCCCCCCUGACUUGUUCUUCACGCAAAACCUCUUAUAUGUACUAAAACCUCCAGAACAUAACCUAGAUCGGGAGUUCCGCCGCCAGAAGCCUCCGUAGCCACCGAAAACCAAUCUAGACCCGUUUCGGCAUCCUGCCGGAGGGGGGAAUCCCUCUCCAGUGGCCAUCUUAAUCAUCCCGGCACUCUCCAUGACGAGGAGGGAGUAGUUCACCCUGGGGGCUGAGGGUAUGUACCAGUAGCUAUGUGUUUGAUCCCUCUCUCUCAUGUUCUUGAUUCGGAACAAUCUUGUUGUAUCGCGAGAUUUUCUAUUAUAGUUGGAUCUUAUGAUGUUUCUCCCCCUCUACUCUCUUGUGAUAAAUUGAGUUUUCCCUUUGAAGUUAUCUUAUCGAAUUGAGUCUUGAAGGAUUUGAGAACACUUGAUGUAUGUCUUGCAUGUGCUUCUCUGUGGUGACAAUGGGAUAUCACGUGAUUCACUUGAUGUAUGUUUUGGUGAUCAACUUGCGAGUUCCAUGACCUCGUGAACUUAUGCAUAGGGGUUGGCACACAUUUUCGUCUUGACUCUCUGGUAGAAAAUUUAGGGCACUCUUUGAAGUUCUUUGUGUUGGUUGAAUAGAUGAAUCUGAGAUUGUGUGAUGGAUAUCGUAUAAUCAUAUCCAUGGAUACUUGAGGUGACAUUGUAGUAUCUAGGUGACAUUAGGGUUUUGGUUGAUUUGUGUCUUAAGGUGUUAUUCUAAUACGAACUCUAGGAUAGAUUGAAUGGAAAGAAUAGCUUCGUGUUAUUUUACUACGGACUCUUGAAUAGAUUGAUCAGAAAGAAUAACUUUGAGGUGGUUUCAUACCCUACAAUAAUCUCUUCGUUUGUUCUCUGCUAUUAGUGACUUUGGAGUGACUCUUUGUUGCAUGUUGAGGGAUACUUAUAUGAUCCAACUAUGUUAUUAUUGUUGAGAUAACUUGCACUAGUGAAAGUAUGAACCCUAGGCCUUGUUUCAACGCAUUGCAAUACCGUUUUCGCUCACUUUUAUCAUUAGUUACCUUGUUGUUUUUAUAUUUUCAGAUUACAAAAACCUAUAUCUACCAUCCAUAUUGCACUUGUUGUUGGAAAUAUGCCCUAGAGGCAAUAAUAAAAUGGUUAUUAUUGUAUUUCCUUGUUCAUGAUAAUUGUCUAUUGUUCAUGCUAUAAUUGUAUUAACCGGAAACAGUAAUACAUGUGUGAAUACAUAGACCACAACAUGUCCCUAGUAAGCCUCUAGUUGACUAGCUCGUUGAUCAAUAGAUGGUCAUGGUUUCCUGACCAUGGACAUUGGAUGUCAUGUAUAACGAGAUCACAUCAUUAGGAUAAUGAUGUGAUGGACAAGACCCAAUCCUAAGCCUAGCACAAGAUCGUAUAGUUCGUCUGCUAAAGCUUUUCUAAUGUCAAGUAUCAUUUCCUUAGACCAUGAUAUUGUGCAACUCCCGGAUACCGUAGGAAUGCUUUGGGUGUACCAAACGCCACAAUGUAACCAGGUGGCUAUAAAGGUGCACUACGGGUAUCUCCGAAAGUGUUAGUUGGGUUGGCACAAAUCGAGACUGGGAUUUGUCACUCCGCGUAAAAGGAGAGGUAUCUUUGGGCCCACUAGGUAGGACAUCAUCAUAAUGUGCACAAUGUGACCAAGGAGUUGAUCAUGGGAUGAUGUGUUACGGAACGAGUAAAGAGACUUGCCGGUAACGAGAUUGAACAAGGUAUCGGGAUACCGACGAUCGAAUCUUGGGCAAGUACUAUACCGGUAGACAAAGGGAAUUGUAUACGGGAUUGACUGAAUCCUUGACAUCAUGGUUCAUCCGAUGAGAUCAUCGUGGAACAUGUGGGAGCCAACAUGGGUAUCCAGAUCCCGCUGUUGGUUAUUGACCAGAGAGAUGUCUCGGUCAUGUCUGCAUUAUUCCCGAGCCCGUAGGGUCUACACACUUAAGGUUCGAUGACUCUAGGGUUAUAGGGAAAGUAUGUACGCGGUUACUGAAUGUUGUUUGGAGUCCCGGAUGAUAUCCCGGACGUCACGAGGAGUUCCAGAAUGGUCCGGAGGUGAAGAUUGAUAUAUUGGACGAAGGGUUUUGGAGUCCGGAAGUGUUCCGGAGGUACCGGGUGAUGACCAGCAUGACCGAAAGGUGUUUCGGGAGCCCCGACAAGUGUUGGGGGGCUUCAUGGGCCAAGGCAAGGGGGCAAACCAGCCCACUAAGGGGCUGUGCGCCCCCCUCACCUAUUCCCACGUGACCAGGGGGUUUGGGGCGCCCCAUCUAGGGUUCCCACCUCCUGGCUUGGGGGCCAAGUCACCGAAGGGGGAGAUCCCAUCUGCCCUGGCCGCCGCCCCCCCUCCCUAGGGGAAACCCUAGGGCACCUCCCCUUGCCCUUGCCCCUAUAUAUAGUGGAGGUUUUGGGGCUGCAUAACACACUAGUCUCUCUCUCCCAAGGCGCAACCCUACCUCUCUCCCUCCUCGUCUCUCGUAGUGCUUGGCGAAGCCCUGCUGGAGUACCGCGCUCCUCCACCACCACCACGUCAUCGUGAUGUUGCUGAACGGAGUCUUCCCCAACCUCUCCCUCUCUCCUUGCUGGAUCAAGGCAUGGGAGACGUCACCGGGCUGCACGUGUGUUGAACACGGAGGCGCCGUUGUUCGGCGCUUAGUUCGGAAUAGACCGCGAUAUGAAUCGCUACGAGUACGACUACCUCAUCCGUGUUCUAGUAAUGCUUCCGCUUAGAGAUCUACAAGGGUAUGUAGAUGCACUCCCCUUCCCCUCGUUGCUAGAUUACUCCAUAGAUUGAUCUUGGCGAUGCGUAGAAAAUUUUAAAUUUCUGCUACGACCCCCAACAUGUAUGACUUAUUUUAUUUGUAGAGUUGUGUUGUGAUAUCUUCCCGCGAGUCCCUGAUCUCGAUCGUACACGUUUGCGUGUAUGAUUAGUGUACGAUUGAAUCAGGGGCGUCACAAGUUGGUAUUAGAGCCGACUGCCUGUAGGAAUCCCCCUUCCACACUCCUUGGCCGAAGUCGAGUCUAGACAUUGCAAAACUUUUACUAACAUGGCAGUGUGUCUUAUGGGCUCAUGUCACCAUUGGGUGUUAUUAGGAUCUUUUACUCCUCGAUCUUUACUCCGGGAUUCUGAUCUCUCUUCUAUUCGGGUUAAAAGAUUUUGCUAACUCUAACUCUAUGUUCUUGUAAAUACUUUCUCUCGGAGAACCCCUCACUCCAGAUGGUCGCCUGUUGCACCAGAAGAUUCCGAAGAUACUCUUUGAUGUUAUCCUGAGAACUUGUGCUCAUUGCAUUUGCAAUUCCCUUCCACCGUCAAUCCCUAUAGAUAACUACAUGCCCUUGCCAUUCUUACAUUAGUCCCUAGUUGCUCUUGUUAUUACAAGAUACCCCGAGAUGCUCAUUGUUGUUCCGAGAAUCCUUGUGCCUACUGCCUUGCAGUUUCUUGUCACCUGAAUACUCCUACAAAUUAAUCCUCACACACACACCAAGGAUUUGUUUCUCCUUAGUUCAUGUGUUUCACCAAAGUCUUCGAAAUACUAUUUGAUCUUUUGAAAAUCCUCAACAGCCUAUUGGUCUUGAAAUUCUUGCUUGCUUGCAUUCUGGUUAAUCCAUAAGUAUAGUAAUCUUAUUGGCAUCCUUUGUCACUAUCAUUUUUGAGUCCAUUCAUUCAAUACGUUGCGAAUGCUCACAAUCAUCAGUCGAAUCCUAGGAUUAUCCUUCCGGCUAAGAUGUCAUUUGGGUAUGAGCUGGUUCAUGACCAAUCAAUGCCUUGAUCGGUUGUGCUUCCAAGUCUAUUGAACUUAUUCAUUUUCGAUCACGAAUUAUUUGCUUAUAAUCCCUUGAUUUGGAAAUCAUAAAUUUCGUUGCUUGUAGCUUUGAAUUAGUCAGUUGUUUCUAUAAUCAUAUCUCUAUGCAUUCUUCUUCCUUUGGUUGAGUACCGAUGCUCACCUCAGAUCCCUUGAGGACCAUCAGAUCCUUUGUUGGAUUUUCUCCAACAGUGUCCUUCAUAUUCCAUAACGUUGCGAGUCUUUCCGCGGAUAUAUGAUGCCUUUGGUAAAUUGUAUCCUCUGCUUCUCAACCAUGCUUUGCUUUCGAGCUGGUGGUAUUUACUAUUGAAGCUUGUGGUAUAUGUUUCCACGACACCCUGACGGGUAGAACCUAUGCUUUCCUUAAUAUGUGUGAAAUCAAAAGUUUUCACGAGUCAUACUCUUCUGGUAUUUUGCUAGAUGAAAUUUCAACACUACAACUUAUUCGAAAGUGAGAGGUGAAUGGAAGGUUAUACAUUGAAGAAGUGGUAGUCGACCUAUCAUUAAAGCUUCUCUUAAAUUAAUUAUUCCCUUGGUAUAAGUUCAUCUUAUAUUUAGGAUCCGACCUUUUGCAAUCGUGGUUUCGACCAUGUUCUCCUUUAAAUACCAUUUUUUGUGCAAGUUUAAGCACUUGUCUUUUGCAGAGCAAUACCCUAGUCGAACCUCUACUUUGAUCUAUCGUCGAGUAUUACCCCCUGGUAUCUCAAGAUUGUCAUGGAACCGCAUACCUUCUUAUGAGCUCUUCAUUAAGUACUACAUUCUGACAGUUUCCAAUUUUUCACGGGCUCUGAGUUAUUAAACUCUCAAAGACACUGAUAACUAUACCGAGUCCGCACUAUGGUUCAACAACUCUUAGUAAUCUUCUUUAUGCAUGAGUGUGUACUCGAUCACACUGUUCCUAGUCUGUUUGGCUAUAUCAUUGUCUUGAUGAUUUUAACCAUGCUACUUGGUCCUUAUUCCAGGGGCACCACUUUCGACGACGAGCUAAGCUUACGGUUUGGAGUCAAAGGAAAGUUAGUGCCACGAUUUGUGGGUCCAUACAGAGUCUUGGAACGUAUGGGUGAAGUUGUUUACAACUUGGAUUUACCUGAAGGUUUGUCAGGAGUUCAUGAUGUGUUUCACGUUUUUGCAAUUGAAGAAGUGACAUGCAGAGAUAGCUGAUAUUCCUCUGAGAGAUACGGUGCCCCUGGAAGCAAUUCAGUUGGAGAGUAACCUAAUUUAUGAGGAGAAACCCGUCAGGAUUCUAGAUUUCACCAACUGAGUCACUUGCAGUAAGGUCAUCAAGUUUUGCAAAGUUUAGUGGAGUCACCAUACCGAGGAGGAAGCCACUUGGGAACAAGAAGAAGACCUCCGAAAGGACCACCCACACCUUUUUGCUAGCCAACCCGACUCUCGACGGCGCUAUUCAUCUUAAGGGGGGUAGGUUUGUAACAUCCCAAAUUUCCAUUUGGAUGUUAUUUAGAUCAAUCAUAUGCACUCAUCAUUUGUGCAUAUUGGAAUUUGCUUUAUUUGAAAUUUUGAUCCAAGGGGUCUUAAACGACUCGAGGACAAAUAGAGAGAGUUGGAGGUUUCCCAAAACUCAUUUCUUUUUGAAUUUUUAAAACUUGGAAAUUUGGAUCAAAUUGAUUUACUCAAAAUUCUUUUCUAAUUAUUUGAAAUAAAUAAAAUAAAGAGAGAAGAUAAAAGGACUUCUUCAAAAACAACAAAGAAAUAUUGGAAAAUUAAAUUUUGAAUAAAAAUAUAUUUUAUUUGAUUUUAUUUGCAAGUUUAUUUAUUUUUAUUAGUACUAAAAAUAUUAUUUUUAUUUUAGGCAUCUAGGUCCAGACAAAUCUUCACCUAAGCCUAUUUAAUUAGGAGGGACUAUGUGAACUUUUCUGCAAUUUUUAAAAAUAUGUUUAUUAUGCUUUUUGUAUUUUUCGUAUCUCUGGAAAAAGGUUUUAAAAAAACUUUUGGACAGAACUGGGCAGAAGCCCAGCCAGCCCAGACGCCGCACCGCCUUCCUCCCGUGCGUGGCCUGGACUCGCCGGAGUCCGCCGGGCCAACGGCGCCGGCCGCCACUUCUCCAAGUCGGAGCACCCGCCACCUAUUUAAUGCAUCGUCCCCGGCCCUCGCUUUCCUCCUCCUCAGCCCGUAGCCGCCCCGCCUCCCAUCGCAGCGCCGAGCCAUCGCCAUCGCCGCACCGAGCCGCGCCACCACUACCGCGCACCGCAGCCGCUCCACCCGCCGCCCGAUCCGCCGCUGGAUCCCCGAGCCGCCGCCGGACUCACCGUCGCCCGAGCCCAGAUCCGCUCGACCCGACCCACCGGUUUUCUCGGUCAGGGAAUAAACCGACCCGGUCCGAUCCGGUUUUUUAGUUUUCGGUUUUUCUUUUAAGACCCGGUUUAUUAUUUUUAGUUUAGUUAUUUAGCAAAUGUUUGUUCGUUAAUGUUCUAUACUUUAAAGAUUCAUCAGAUUAGUGUUCGUAGCGGACGUUCGUCUGAUAGAUUUUUCUUUUUCUGUUUUAUUUUUCGGCCAGGGACCCAUCCAUGAAUAUUUUCUUCAUAGAUUAGCCCCUAAUCUUUAAAUCAUCACAACUUUUUACUCGUUUGUCCAAAUUCAACGAAACCAAUGCCAAAUUCUUCGUUAUGAUUCUAUCUAGAUAACCAACUUAACAAUAUUUUUGGAAGUUCAAAAUAUUAUUUCAAACAGAUUUGAGUUUGAACUUCUUCUGAUCAUAACUUGAGUUUCGUAAUUCUGAUUUGGUUGAUUCUUUUUGCAAAUCGAAGCUCUUGACCUAAACUUUCUGUUAAGAUCUAAUACACAUAACUUAAGUACUGUUAGAAAUUGUUUUCUAUUUGAAAGAGUUAUUUUCUUAUUCUUUUGACCUUUCUGAAUCCUUUUCUUUGGUUUUCUUUGCAUCUUCAUGCUUGAGUGCUUAUGUAUGCUAUUGUUUUUCUAUGAUAGAAAUUGUUAUCUAUUCGCUAGAUGGAUUCUUCUCUCUCUUUGAUCUUCAAUACAAUGUUCUCCUCCAUUUCUUGGAGUUCUAUUCGAUGUAAUCUUCUUUUGCGGUGCGUUUUGUUGAUAUUCGAUGAAUUUUGGAUUUUUAUCAGAUUAUCUAUGAUUAUUAUUUGAGUCUUCUCUCAACUCUUUUAUGCAUGAUUAAAAUAGCUUUGUAUUUCUCUCCAAUCUAUUGAUUUGGUUUGGCCAACUAUAUUGAUCUAUCUUGCAAUGGGAGAGGUGCUUUGUGAUGGGUUCAAUCUUGCAGUGUCCUCACUAGUGGCAGCAGGGGUAGCAAGACACGUAUUUGUAUUGUUGCCAUUAAGGAUGAAAAUAUGGGGGUUUUACCAUAUUUAUUGGAUCUAUCCCUCUACAUCAUGUCAUCUUGGUUAAGGCGUUACUCCAUACUUGUUAACUUAAUAGACUAGAUGCAUGCUGGAUAGCAGUUGAUGUGUGGAGUAGUAGUGGUAGAUGUAGGCAGGAGUCGGUCCACUUGUCACGGACAUGAUGCCUAUAUUCAUGAUCAUUGCCUUAGAUACCAUCAUAACUUUGCGCUUUUCUAUCAAUUACUCAACAGUAAUUUGUUUACCCACCAUAUGCUUUCUUCAAGAGAGAAGCCUCUAGUGAAAAAUAUGGCCCACAGGUGUAAUGCCCCGUUUUCAUUUGCUAUGCAUUUGUUCCUGAAGAAUGUUUAAAUAAAAGAAUAAGACAGAGUUAGUAAUUAUUAAAGUGAUGUAAGAAUAGGAAAAGGAAAAAAGAGACACACACACACGAAGAGAGAGAAAGAGAGAGUGCAUGUGAAAUAAAAUCAGCGUGGCAAAAAGAAAAUAAAAGAGAGGGUGUGUAUGCUAGUGUUUGAACCAUGGUCCUCUAGAUAUAUGAAGAAUUUAGAAACCAAUUUCUCUAGGUGCUACUUCUGGUACUAUACCAGGAAACAUAUUAGUUAGCUCCUCUAAAACAAGAGGAAAGAAAUUCUACAUGGGUCCAAGGCCCGGUCGAGCUCGGCCUGAUGGUCAGUCCCACACUGCGCCGCUAUAACCUGCGCCCAAAUCGCCUUUCUCUUCUUUUCCCCUCACCAAAAUAUUCCUCUCGUCUUAUCCAGUUAAGGCCGCAGCCUUCAGGUCGCUACCACUGCUGUGGGUUGCCAUCCCCAUGAGGUUGCUGUUGUUCCGACGCCUCUACUCGUCGAGGCCGUUGCCGGGCAGUUGUGGCUGCUAGGAAUUGUUGAUGCCAGUGGUACGUCCUAGUUUUCCUUCUCUAUGGUGAUGGCUAGGUAAGACUUAGGGAUUUGGGGCAGCAUCUCAUAGAUUGGAAUUAGAUAUGAGAACUGGAGAUGGAUUCCUGAAACACUUUGCAAAUUCGUUGGUGAGCCCAGUGCUUAUAAUUAUUUGGUUUUGCUUCCAGGUCAGACCUCCUCUAUGUUAGUUCCUUUGCUUAGCCAAAUAAGUUAGGGAAGAUAGCCCAUCCAUGAUGUUGUGAGAUGUGGACUGCCUUCUAGCAGAAAAACUAGAGUGUUGGGCAUCUCUGACUGUAAACUGAAUCUGGUUCAGUUAAAACCGCACUGACAAAUCUAGAUAGCCAGUUUCUAGGUGGAAAUUGAGUUAGUUAUGCUCACAAUUUCGAGUUGGCCUCUACAUAUCAGUUGCAAAGCAUGUUCCAAGGUUUCCGUGGAGUACUUACUUGCUUCAUUUGGAUGUACGGUUUGAGAGCAAUCGUCUAUUUGGUUACUGUCCAGAAACACAGUUUCGUGGGUACAGUAUUUUCAUAUGGAAGAUUAGGCCCUGUUGGAGGUGGAAUUAAAAUAAAGUUACAACAUAAAAUUUGUAGAGGAUAUUCUGCAGAUUCUUAAACAUAUAUUAUUUGUUAGAUUCCGUGUUAUACACUAAAUCCUAUGAAAUUAUUAAAAUGACUGUACUAUGACAGACAAAAUUUUAUGUUUGGACUUGGGUGAAUGUAAAUAGACUUAUACUCUCACAUUUUGUCGCCGUUGAUGAUGUGAGGAGUUAUAAUGUGAUAAAGUAUAUAUGAUCUAGGGUCUUGUGUGUAGGAGCGAUGCAAAAUUAUAUAUGCUUAUGUAAUCAGACCAUGCUUUAUUGUGACUGUGAUAUAUGCUUCAUGAUAGGUGGGGGUAUUUUGGAUUCGAACUGGUUGCCUCACAAUUUGUGCCCCGCGGUUGAGGCAAGUUCAUGAUGGGAUAACGACUUGCAUAAUCCCUACACUCUAUUUUAUUUAUGAUAUUUGUCCAUGUGAAUGAUGUUUAUUGUGAUGGAGGUGACGAUGACAAAGACAUGUUGAUUCAAGUACUUUGCUUGCAUUUGCAUAUUUGCAUUCAUGAUGAUAGAGAAAGAAAGAGUACCCUACCUUGGGUAGGCACAUUGAGCAUCCAUUGUUGGGUUGUGACCAGCUUUGGAGGCAACCUCCACGCGCUGGAGUGAGCGGAUGUCGAUGGGCGUCCACUCAAGCAAUACCGGUAUACGCAAUGAAAUGAGAUGAGCAUGUAGGCAUGUAGGACACCAAUACAUGUGUUCAGUGUUGUUGAGUGUAUGUUGUUAACAUAGAUUUAGUGCUUUCUUAUGAGUAUUGUUUAGUAUUCCUUUAUGAACUUGUUGAGUCCUUGUACUCACCCUUGUUGCUUACAUGUUUUUAGGUAAACCAUGAAGAAAACAUGCAUGAGAGUCGUGGGGUAGCAGUAUCACCAUCUUCACUACAGGAAUAUCUCAUAUGUUAACUUCUGGCACCGUGUUUUGAGAGCUUGUAUGGCUUAUACCUUACUUCACAUGGUGGAUUGUCUUGGAAUUCGAGAUUUACGCUUUCGUUCUGUAUGGCUUAACUAAUUUCCACUAAGACGUACAUGAUCGCCUAGAGUUUUGAAGUGGCACUUGGUUAAUGUUGGUAUUGUAGCUUUGCGCUUUAUGCUUGUGUUUGGUUCCUUUUCAUACAUAAUCAUAUGAUUUGUGUGUCAUGGAUGUCCUUAGAUACAGAGAAAGC
This 18499-nucleotide long non-coding RNA is filed under the name Triticum aestivum (bread wheat). RNAcentral describes it as "long non-coding RNA (TAES_LNC020603)". Lineage: Eukaryota; Viridiplantae; Streptophyta; Magnoliopsida; Poales; Poaceae. The record is from RNAcentral.